GAUGAACGCUGGCGGCGUGCCUAAUACAUGCCAGUCGAGCGAACGGACGAGAAGCUUGCUUCUCUGAUGUUAGCGGCGGACGGGUGAGUAACACGUGGAUAACCUACCUAUAAGACUGGGAUAACUUCGGGAAACCGGAGCUAAUACCGGAUGAUAUUUUGAACCGCAUGGUUCAAGAGUGAAAGACGGUCUUGCUGUCACUUAUAGAUGGAUCCGCGCUGCAUUAGCUAGUUGGUAAGGUAACGGCUUACCAAGGCAACGAUGCAUAGCCGACCUGAGAGGGUGAUCGGCCACACUGGAACUGAGACACGGUCCAGACUCCUACGGGAGGCAGCAGUAGGGAAUCUUCCGCAAUGGGCGAAAGCCUGACGGAGCAACGCCGCGUGAGUGAUGAAGGUCUUAGGAUCGUAAAACUCUGUUAUUAGGGAAGAACAAAUGUGUAAGUAACUGUGCACAUCUUGACGGUACCUAAUCAGAAAGCCACGGCUAACUACGUG
RNAcentral lists this ribosomal RNA (497 nucleotides) under uncultured bacterium. RNAcentral describes it as "partial 16S ribosomal RNA". It matches the Rfam family "Bacterial small subunit ribosomal RNA", at positions 28 to 507 of the family's 1533-position model. The record is from RNAcentral.